AAAUUCUGUCUGACACAUUUGCUGUAUCAAAGUAUGCCUUGAUAUCAAAGAUGUGAAAGAACCAUGCCUUGCUUUUGAAUACUGAAUCCCACCCAGAAGUACUUCUGUACUCAGAAGACUCUGAUCCUGCAUCCUCCCUUCAGUCUCUGGGCUCUUCAUCUGUAUUUCCUACUUAGGAGUCCUUGUCUGGCCUGUGCAGCCCAUAGAGUCAGCUCACAACCCUCUUUCUCCUCUGUUUUCACCAAAUAAGUUGAAUUUAAGGCAGGUUCUGUUCUAUUUAGGUGCAACCCGCUCAGAAUGAAUGAUAAUUUAUACUUGUUACUGAUAUAAAUCUGUACCCAGUGCCAGAAGCUGUGAGUGGUCCUGCGCACUUGUGAUUUCCACAUUGUCUGUCUACAGAAAGCACAGUUACAUUUCAGGAGCAGUGACUCAUCCCACUCCAGUCAAAGGAGUUUCCUGUAGGAAAGAAAAGGCUCCAAGCAGAGCUGUGGAGUUACAAUCAAUGAAGAUGCUGGUUCAUCAUCAAACCUGAGCAAGAACUUCAUGCACACUGACAGAUUGCCUUGUUCAACAAGGAGCAACCAGGAAGGAGUAAACAUCAUGCUCUCCUGCAUCAGAGCUGAGCCCCAAGUGUUCUUUUUGGACAGAAAGCCAGAGGAAAGUUGAACAUGUUUUCUCUAAAAGCAUCUGCAUUGCCAGCACUGGAAAAUGCUCAGGAUUUCUAAAAGCUGCUCCUGCAGAUAGUUUGACCAAAGCUGGCACUUGAAAGACAAAUCUCCCAGAAUCAAAGAGACAUGGUCCUGAACACUCCGACUGGCUUAUCCCAGGAAGCUGAUGGAUAAAAUGAACAUCAGAGAGUAAGUAGUAAAAGAAAGGAGAACCUGAGUCUUUAACAAGCACUUCGUUUGGGGGCUGCAUGACACACCCUCGAAACAGGGAUUAGUCAGAGUUCAAGAAAUCCACAAACUUGAUGCUGUAUGUCUGCACAACUCCAAAUUUUAUCCUAAUUAGUCUGGCAGUUACAGAGGAGGCAGUGUCCUGUCUAAAU
RNAcentral lists this long non-coding RNA (1048 nucleotides) under Coturnix japonica (Japanese quail). RNAcentral's name for it is "lncRNA (ENSCJPG00005007876.1)". Lineage: Eukaryota; Metazoa; Chordata; Aves; Galliformes; Phasianidae. The record is from RNAcentral.